AGCGAACGCUGGCGGCAGGCCUAACACAUGCAAGUCGAACGGAUCCUUCGGGAUUAGUGGCGGACGGGUGAGUAACACGUGGGAACGUGCCCUUUGGUUCGGAACAACUCAGGGAAACUUGAGCUAAUACCGGAUGUGCCCUUCGGGGGAAAGAUUUAUCGCCAUUGGAGCGGCCCGCGUCUGAUUAGCUAGUUGGUGAGGUAACGGCCCACCAAGGCGACGAUCAGUAGCUGGUCUGAGAGGAUGAUCAGCCACACUGGGACUGAGACACGGCCCAGACUCCUACGGGAGGCAGCAGUGGGGAAUCUUGCGCAAUGGGCGAAAGCCUGACGCAGCCAUGCCGCGUGAAUGAUGAAGGUUUUAGGAUUGUAAAAUUCUUUCAGCGGGGACGAUAAUGACGGUACCCGCAGAAGAAGCUCCGGCUAACUUCGUG
This 433-nucleotide ribosomal RNA is filed under the name uncultured bacterium. Its description in RNAcentral is "partial 16S ribosomal RNA". It matches the Rfam family "Bacterial small subunit ribosomal RNA", at positions 29 to 507 of the family's 1533-position model. The record is from RNAcentral.